UACAGAGGUCUCAAGCGUUGUUCGGAUUUAUUGGGCGUAAAGGGUGCGUAGGUGGUGGGGUAAGUUGGAUGUGAAACGCCUCGGCUCAACCAAGGCACUGCAUUCAAUACUGCUCCGCUUGAGCACUAGCGAGGAGGCUGGAAUUUACGGUGUAGCAGUGAAAUGCGUAGAUAUCGUAAGGAACACCAGUGGCGAAAGCGAGCCUCUAGAUAGUAUGCUGACACUGAGGCACGAAAGCCAGGGGAGCAAACGGG
This 254-nucleotide ribosomal RNA is filed under the name uncultured bacterium. RNAcentral describes it as "partial 16S ribosomal RNA". It matches the Rfam family "Bacterial small subunit ribosomal RNA", at positions 524 to 776 of the family's 1533-position model. The record is from RNAcentral.